GAUGAACGCUGACAGAAUGCUUAACACAUGCAAGUCAACUUGAACUUCGGUUUGGGUGGCGGACGGGUGAGUAACGCGUAAAGAACUUGCCUCACAGAUAGGGACAACAUUUGGAAACGAAUGCUAAUACCUGAUAUUAUGAUUUUAGGGCAUCCUAGAAUUAUGAAAGCUAUAUGCGCUGUGAGAGAGCUUUGCGUCCCAUUAGCUAGUUGGAGAGGUAACGGCUCACCAAGGCGAUGAUGGGUAGCCGGCCUGAGAGGGUGAUCGGCCACAAGGGGACUGAGACACGGCCCUUACUCCUACGGGAGGCAGCAGUGGGGAAUAUUGGACAAUGGACCAAGAGUCUGAUCCAGCAAUUCUGUGUGCACGAUGAAGUUUUUCGGAAUGUAAAGUGCUUUCAGUUGGGAAGAAAAAAAUGACGGUACCAACAGAAGAAGUGACGGCUAAAUACGUGCCAGCAGCCGCGGUAAUACGUAUGUCACAAGCGUUAUCCGGAUUUAUUGGGCGUAAAGCGCGUCUAGGUGGUUAUAUAAGUCUGAUGUGAGAAUGCAGGGCUCAACUCUGUAUUGCGUUGGAAACUGUGUAACUAGAGUACUGGAGAGGUAAGCGGAACUACAAGUGUAGAGGUGAAAUUCGUAGAUAUUUGUAGGAAUGCCGAUGGGGAAGCCAGCUUACUGGACAGAUACUGACGCUGAAGCGCGAAAGCGUGGGUAGCAAACAGG
RNAcentral lists this ribosomal RNA (722 nucleotides) under uncultured Fusobacterium sp. RNAcentral describes it as "bacterial SSU rRNA". It matches the Rfam family "Bacterial small subunit ribosomal RNA", at positions 28 to 776 of the family's 1533-position model. Lineage: Bacteria; Fusobacteriati; Fusobacteriota; Fusobacteriia; Fusobacteriales; Fusobacteriaceae. The record is from RNAcentral.